GAUGAACGCUGGCGGCGUGCUUAACACAUGCAAGUCGAACGGAAAGGCUCCUGCUUGCAGGGGUACUCGAGUGGCGAACGGGUGAGUAACACGUGGGUGAUCUGCCCAGCACUUCGGGAUAAGCCUGGGAAACUGGGUCUAAUACCGGAUAGGACGAUGGUUUGGAUGCCAUUGUGGAAAGUUUUUUCGGUGUGGGAUGAGCUCGCGGCCUGUCAGCUUGUUGGUGGGGUAAUGGCCUACCAAGGCGUCGACGGGUAGCCGGCCUGAGAGGGUGUACGGCCACAUUGGGACUGAGAUACGGCCCAGACUCCUACGGGAGGCAGCAGUGGGGAAUAUUGCACAAUGGGCGCAAGCCUGAUGCAGCGACGCCGCGUGGGGGAUGACGGCCUUCGGGUUGUAAACUCCUUUCGCUAGGGACGAAGCGCAAGUGACGGUACCUGGAGAAGAAGCACCGGCUAACUACGUG
Molecule: ribosomal RNA, 466 nt
Filed under: uncultured bacterium
Lineage: Bacteria
Description: partial 16S ribosomal RNA
Rfam family: Bacterial small subunit ribosomal RNA
Source: RNAcentral